CGGCCACCGAGGGAGUUAUUUUGAGACAGACAAUCCUUUCUUCAACUUGUUUUUGAAAGCCUACUCAAUUUUAUCCUACUUAAUAUGUAAACUCAUUUUCAUGUUCAUUUGAAGGAGACAUAUUAGGAUUCUUUCAGACUGGGGGUGUAGCUCCAGCAGGCUGUGGAAAUGCUGGAGCUGAUCAGAAAAGGAAGUGUGAAGACAGUGUCAGAAGUCAUUUUGCUAUUAACCAGCAAAGGUGUUGAGGGAAAUGAGAACACAUGUCAUCAGUUACCACUUUUGAUGGACUUCAAAGACUUAAGAUUUUCCUCCAAGUAAUCUCAAGAAACUCACCCAGAGAAACAAACUAGGACUCAGCGCUGACCUCCCAGCAAUCCCAGUAACUUGCUUGAAAGUGAAGGAAGUGGAUUUCAAACAAGCAUAAGCCAAGAGAGGAUUUGAUGCCCACAUAAACCAGGAAGAAUGAUGUUACAGCUGGCCUCAGGAAUGACAGAAUUAGGACUGGGGUGAUCUCUGCCUGUCAAGACUCCUGGCCUCCAUCUCUGGCCUCUGCAUCACUGUGUGUUGGUCUAAUUGGUCUCAAACCGGC
Molecule: long non-coding RNA, 589 nt
Filed under: Pongo abelii (Sumatran orangutan)
Lineage: Eukaryota; Metazoa; Chordata; Mammalia; Primates; Hominidae
Description: lncRNA (ENSPPYG00000039203.1)
Source: RNAcentral